GACGAACGCUGGCGGCGUGCUUAACACAUGCAAGUCGAACGGAAAGGCCCUGCUUUUGUGGGGUGCUCGAGUGGCGAACGGGUGAGUAACACGUGAGUAACCUGCCCUUGACUUUGGGAUAACUUCAGGAAACUGGGGCUAAUACCGGAUAGGAGCUCCUGCUGCAUGGUGGGGGUUGGAAAGUUUCGGCGGUUGGGGAUGGACUCGCGGCUUAUCAGCUUGUGGGUGGGGUAGUGGCUUACCAAGGCUUUGACGGGUAGCCGGCCUGAGAGGGUGACCGGCCACAUUGGGACUGAGAUACGGCCCAGACUCCUACGGGAGGCAGCAGUGGGGAAUAUUGCACGAUGGGCGGAAGCCGGAUGCAGCAACGCCGCGUGCUGGAGGACGGCCUUCGGGUUGUAAACAGCUUUCGCCUGUGACGAAGCGUGAGUGACGGUAAUGGGUAAAGAAGCACCGGCUAACUACGUG
RNAcentral lists this ribosomal RNA (468 nucleotides) under uncultured bacterium. Its description in RNAcentral is "partial 16S ribosomal RNA". It matches the Rfam family "Bacterial small subunit ribosomal RNA", at positions 28 to 507 of the family's 1533-position model. The record is from RNAcentral.